RNAcentral lists this transfer RNA (90 nucleotides) under Candidatus Berkelbacteria bacterium. Its description in RNAcentral is "tRNA-Ser". It matches the Rfam family "tRNA". From Rfam's summary of the family: Transfer RNA (tRNA) molecules are approximately 80 nucleotides in length. Their secondary structure includes four short double-helical elements and three loops (D, anti-codon, and T loops). Lineage: Bacteria; Candidatus Berkelbacteria. The record is from RNAcentral.
GGAAGGGUGCCGGAGUGGACGAACGGGCACGCCUGGAGAGCGUGUGUCGUCGCAAGACGACCGUGGGUUCGAAUCCCACCCCUUCCGCCA